Molecule: transfer RNA, 775 nt
Filed under: uncultured cyanobacterium
Lineage: Bacteria; Bacillati; Cyanobacteriota
Description: partial 16S-23S ribosomal RNA intergenic spacer
Rfam family: tRNA (bases 268-340)
Source: RNAcentral
CAGGGAGACAACACAAUGAUUUUGAUGCGUGAGUACUUUUAUUCUUAGGCCGAAAUCCUGUCACGUUAGGUCGAUCGGUACAUCAGCUUUGAAGUCAAGGAUCAGCAGCAAUGUUGAUUGCUUGAUGGAGAUUUUCAGUUCCUAAACUUUGUCUAGGUCACACCCCAAAAGGGAUGAGACUCCUGGGCCAUUAGCUCAGGUGGUUAGAGCGCACCCCUGAUAAGGGUGAGGUCCCUGGUUCAAGUCCAGGAUGGCCCAUUCGGUGUUGGGGGUUUAGCUCAGUUGGUAGAGCGCCUGCUUUGCAAGCAGGAUGUCAGGAGUUCGAGUCUCCUAACCUCCACUGACCGAACUUGAUUCCCAUCUCCAAUUUUUUGGAGUUGAGCUCGAUUGGAGUGUGAUUUAGAUGUGUCCGCUGGAUGACCCCAGCUUCCUGUCAUUCCAAGUUUUAGAUUUUAAGUCUUGAAUUUGGUUGAUAAGAUGCUGGGCUCGGAUCAAAUGAUCAAGCAAUUGAUGAUUUGAUUUGAAGUUCUAGCAGAACCUUGACAACUGCAUAGGUGAGUCUGGAAAAAACAAAGCAUCUUACAGAUGCAUUGUUUUGAAUCUGAUCUUCUGAAAGGGAGAUUGGAUCUAGAACAAUGAAAAUUCUUUUGAGCAAGAGCCGAGACUCUUGAGCGUUCUUUGAUUGGUGUCGAGCCAAUCAGAGUUUGAUCUUGUUUUUAGCAAUAAAAACUUGAGAAUCUGCUUUCAACGGCGGUAAGCGUUCAGGAGGUUAAUU